Molecule: small RNA, 293 nt
Filed under: Pongo abelii (Sumatran orangutan)
Lineage: Eukaryota; Metazoa; Chordata; Mammalia; Primates; Hominidae
Description: processed transcript
Source: RNAcentral
ACCACCUGAUUGACAAGCUAGAAAACAAAUUCCAAGCAGAAAUUGAAAAUAUGGCACACAAUGGCACUCCCCUGACUAACUACUACCAGCUCAGCCUGGACGUUUUGGCCUUGUGUCUGUUCAAUGGGAACUACUCAACCGCCGAAGUUGUCAACCACUUCACUCCUGAAAAUAAAAACUAUUAUUUUGGUAGCCAGUUCUCAGUAGAUACUGGUGCAAUGGCUGUCCUGGCUCUGACCUGUGUGAACAGGAGUCUAAUAAAUGGGCAGGUCAAAGCAGAUGAAGGCAAUUCG